UACGAGGGGGGCAAGUGUUGUUCGGAAUUAUUGGGCGUAAAGGGUGCGUAGGCGGUUUGGUAAGUCUUAUGUGAAAUCUAUGGGCUCAACUCAUAGUCUGCAUGAGAAACUGCCGGGCUUGAGUAUGGGAGAGGUGAGUGGAAUUCCUGGUGUAGCGGUGAAAUGCGUAGAUAUCAGGAGGAACACCUGUGGCGAAAGCGGCUCACUGGGCCACAACUGACGCUGAGGCGCGAAAGCUAGGGGAGCAAACAGG
RNAcentral lists this ribosomal RNA (253 nucleotides) under uncultured bacterium. RNAcentral's name for it is "partial 16S ribosomal RNA". It matches the Rfam family "Bacterial small subunit ribosomal RNA", at positions 524 to 776 of the family's 1533-position model. The record is from RNAcentral.